This 434-nucleotide ribosomal RNA is filed under the name uncultured bacterium. Its description in RNAcentral is "partial 16S ribosomal RNA". It matches the Rfam family "Bacterial small subunit ribosomal RNA", at positions 355 to 806 of the family's 1533-position model. The record is from RNAcentral.
UGGGGAAUAUUGGACAAUGGGGGCAACCCUGAUCCAGCAAUGCCGCGUGUGUGAAGAAGGUCUUCGGAUUGUAAAGCACUUUCGACGGGGACGAUGAUGACGGUACCCGUAGAAGAAGCCCCGGCUAACUUCGUGCCAGCAGCCGCGGUAAUACGAAGGGGGCUAGCGUUGCUCGGAAUGACUGGGCGUAAAGGGCGUGUAGGCGGUUUACACAGUCAGAUGUGAAAUCCCCGGGCUUAACCUGGGAGCUGCAUUUGAUACGUGUAGACUAGAGUGUGAGAGAGGGUUGUGGAAUUCCCAGUGUAGAGGUGAAAUUCGUAGAUAUUGGGAAGAACACCGGUGGCGAAGGCGGCAACCUGGCUCAUGACUGACGCUGAGGCGCGAAAGCGUGGGGAGCAAACAGGAUUAGAUACCCUGGUAGUCCACGCUGUAAA